This 253-nucleotide ribosomal RNA is filed under the name uncultured bacterium. RNAcentral describes it as "partial 16S ribosomal RNA". It matches the Rfam family "Bacterial small subunit ribosomal RNA", at positions 524 to 776 of the family's 1533-position model. The record is from RNAcentral.
UACGUAGGGGGCGAGCGUUAAUCGGAAUUACUGGGCGUGACGCGUGCGCAGGCGGCUCUUCAAGUCAGUUGUGAAAGCCCCGGGCUUAACCUGGGAAUGGCGUUUGAAACUGGAGGGCUGGAGUGUGGCAGAGGGAGGUGGAAUUCCACGCGUAGCAGUGAAAUGCGUAGAGAUGUGGAGGAACACCGAUUGCGAAGGCAGCCUCCUGGGCCAACACUGACGCUCAUGCACGAAAGCGUGGGGAGCAAACAGG